GAUGAACGCUGGCGGCGUGCCUAAUACAUGCAAGUCGAGCGACCAGACGAUGAGCUUUCUCCUUUGCCGUUAGCGGCGGACGGGUGAGUAACACGUGGAUAACCUACUUCUUUUACUUGGAUAAUAUCGGGAAACCGCAUAUACUACUGGCUCAUAUAUUCUACCGCUUGGUUCAAUAGUUCUUCACGCUUUUCCCGACUCUUAUAGCCGAUGUCGCAUUAGCUAGUUGGUUUGGUAAAGGCCCACCAAGGCAACGAUGCGUAGCUGGGCUGAGAGGAUGAUCAGCCACACUGGAACUGAGACACGGUCCAGACUCCUACGGGAGGCAGCAGUGGGGAAUAUUCGGCAAUGGGCGAAAGCCUGACGGAGCAACACCGCGUGAGUGAAGAAGGUCUUCGGAUCGUAAAACUCUGUUAUUAGGAAAGAACAAAAGUGUAUGUAACUAUGCACGUCUUGACGGUACCUAAUCAGAAAGCCACGGCUAACUACGUG
This 492-nucleotide ribosomal RNA is filed under the name uncultured bacterium. Its description in RNAcentral is "partial 16S ribosomal RNA". It matches the Rfam family "Bacterial small subunit ribosomal RNA", at positions 28 to 507 of the family's 1533-position model. The record is from RNAcentral.